GGCCACACCUGGGCCCACAAAUUAGCCAGAAGCUGCACAAGUCCAGCUCCUGUGACUGCAGCUUGAAGGCUGACGUACCUCCACUCAGCUCCGUGUGAAACGAUGAACACACAGUGGAAAAGGAGCUUUUUUAAAGUGCUGACACCGCAGGAACAUUGACAGAGUGAAGCAGCGAGAAAUUCGACAAGUGAUGUGAGGACAGCAGCUGAGUGACAGGCUCACGGGUGUCAAACAUAAAGUUUGUGGGCCAGAAUCAGCCCAGCAAGGACUCCAGUGUGGCCCAGUGGAUGACACUGGAAAAUGUGAAGAAGGCUUAAACUUUGGACUUUUAGUUGUUACUGUUUUACAAGUCCUUCCCCAUGGCCAUCUACACCAAAGUAAAACAAUGAAAUGACAAAAAACUUCUUUUUAUUCUACUAUACAAAUGUCUGCUUUUAUCAGUAAAAUAAAUAAAAAUAAAUAAAUAAAAAAACCUUUAAAUUAACAAAACCUUCCGGCCCACUAAAGAUAAAACGUGGGUUACAUACAGCUCACAGUGUGAAAGCUCACCGUGUCCAAUUUAUCGACACCAUUUAUCAAAAACCUGCCACUUCUCCAGAACAAUUCCAAAUGUUUUAACCUGAUCAGCGUAAACUCCAAUUGUAUAUAUCGGUAUUAAAACCUCAGAACGGGAGGUGCUGAGUCUGAUUCCAGCUUCAGGUGUAACCUUCACUGGGCUGCGAGCUGGAGAUCAACAGCAAAGCAAAGACACCUCCGAGCCCUCAGGUCUCUGUACAAGGACAACAUGCUGGAUGUAAACUGAAGAGAUUCCAAUUAUGUAAAAUCAAUUUGACCAUUUUUACAGUUUUCUAUGUCAUAAAAUUACAUGUAAUUAAAUUACUUUACAUGUUGGA
This is a long non-coding RNA of Oreochromis niloticus (Nile tilapia), 893 nucleotides long. RefSeq lists it as uncharacterized. NCBI's taxonomy places the organism in Eukaryota, Metazoa, Chordata, Actinopteri, Cichliformes, Cichlidae. The transcript is spliced from 2 exons. The record is from RefSeq and is a predicted model, not a curated record.